RNAcentral lists this ribosomal RNA (391 nucleotides) under Ogyrides sp. KC4542/ULLZ7755. RNAcentral describes it as "partial 12S ribosomal RNA". The record is from RNAcentral. Lineage: Eukaryota; Metazoa; Arthropoda; Malacostraca; Decapoda; Ogyrididae.
UUAGAUACCCUAUUAUAUUUCUAUGAAAAUUCAUGCCCUGGUGAUUAAUUAGUUAUGACCUAUAAAUUUAAAAAAUUUGGCGGUAGUUAAGCCUGGUUAGAGGAGCUUGUCUUAUAAACGAUAGUCCGCGAUAAAUCUUAUUUUACUUUGUUUAUUUCAGUUUGUAUAUCGCUGUUAUAAGAUAAAUUUAAUAAAAUUUUAUUUUGAUAUUUUACGAUAGUAUAUCAAGUCAUGAUGCAGUUUAUAGUAAAGUAAAGGUGAGCUACAUUGAUUUUUAAUUAUACGGAUAUGAAAAAGUAUUUUUUCUUAGAAGGAGGAUUUAAUUGUAAUUAUUUAUUAACAUGUAAUUUUGAUAUUAGCUCUUAAGUAUGUACAUAUCGCCCGGUCGCUA